Molecule: long non-coding RNA, 40309 nt
Filed under: Citrus x clementina
Lineage: Eukaryota; Viridiplantae; Streptophyta; Magnoliopsida; Sapindales; Rutaceae
Description: Citrus clementina (C. clementina) long non-coding RNA (CCLE_LNC002233)
Source: RNAcentral
AAAACCCUACACCCUAAACCCUAAACCCUAAACCCUAAACCCUAAACCCUAAACCCUAAACCCUAAACCCUAAACCCUAAACCCUAAACCCUAAACCCUAAACCCUAAACCCUAAACCCUAAACCCUAAACCCUAAACCCUAAACCCUAAAAACCCUAAACCCCUAAACCCUAAACCCUAAACCCCUAAACCCUAAACCCUAAAAACCCUAAACCCUAAACCCUAAACCCUAAACCCUAAACCCUAAACCCUAAACCCUAAACCCUAAACCCUAAACCCUAAACCCUAAACCCUAAAAACCCUAAAAACCCUAAAAACCCUCAAACCCUAAACCCUAAACCCUAAACCCUAAACCCUAAACCCUAAACCCUAAACCCUAAACCCUAAACCCUAAACCCUAAACCCUAAACCCUAAACCCUAAAAACCCUAAACCCUAAACCCUAAACCCUAAAAACCCUAAACCCUAAAAACCCUAAACCCUAAACCCUAAACCCUAAACCCUAAACCCUAAACCCUAAAAACCCUAAACCCUAAACCCUAAACCCUAAACCCUAAACCCUAAACCCUAAACCCUAAACCCUAAACCCUAAACCCUAAACCCUAAACCCUAAACCCUAAACCCUAAACCCUAAACCCUAAACCCUAAACCCUAAACCCUAAACCCUAAACCAAAAACCCUAAACCCUAAACCCUAAACCCUAAACCCUAAACCCUAAACCAAAACCAAAAAACCCGUUAUUGCUACAGUAAAAAACUCUCUCAACUUUGGUUACUGUUCAUGUAACUUUGACCAGCGUUGACCCCGCGUUGACCAGGCUUUGACCGGCCAUUAUGGCCUCAUCGGAAGAUGGUGAUGAUGAUCGGCCACCCUCCAACCCUCCCCCCCAUGCCGGCGACCAACAUACUCACCGGCCGAACCUAGAUCUACCGCCUUUACCCCCACAAAUCCACUCAAAAGCUCGGCCUUCCUCCUCCACCGUCCUCCCGGAAAAUACCAUCGUUUUGGCACUAUCUGGGCACACAUCCGAGCUGCCGACGCCCUCCCUGCCUCCCCAUGACACAAACCGGCCACCCAAAACGAAAAAAAACCAGUCAAAAACCAAACCCAGUUCACGGGUUCCUUUCCCCCCCACGGUGGAUGCCGUGCCACCAACCUUGCCCACUUCGGGCGAUGCUCAACAACUCCUAACCAUCCCUGCAAACCAGCCAUGCAAUGAGUUAACCAUGCCCACCCUCGCUGCAUCCGGAUCGGGCAACAUCAGCCCGCGGCAGUCGCAACUCCACAUCGCUUCUGCGCAACUUCCAGUCGCUGUCCAAGGUCACUCUAGCCUUGAGGAACCUACCCAUGACGAUCUGAACCAGCCCUCCUAUGCUCAGAACAAUGAGUUUGCCGCGCCUCUGCUUGCUGCUCCUGGAUCGAGCAACUCAUACCCGCGGCCUGUGCAACUUCGAUCUGCAGCGGAGCAAGUUCCAGCAGCCAUUACCGACCAACCUGGCCUUCGGGAACCAGUUCAUGAUGACUUGAAUCAGCCACCCAACUGUCAGUUCCCGGAACCCACGUUGGCAGCAGCUGCAGAAACUUCCAGCCGCGCCGAGCUCAUCUCCACCUUGACAGCAUCCAUCGCCGCGGCCGUUGACGCCUUUCUCCGGCCGAACUCAUCACCUCCAACAUCAACAUCCCCCAUCCAGCCAAUACCACCCAUGACAGACCACUCCCCAGCCGCAGCCAAAGAAACGCACCAGCCGGCCCUAAAAUCCCAAACAUCACAAAACCCUAAUAUCCACCCGUUUCCACCCAUCACAACCCGAGCCCAUGACCAAACCCGAACCCACCCACCCAAUCACCAGAUCCGAACCCACCAUUUAAAUAACCCAACCAAUUUACAAGCCCAACAGCCCAUUUCUUUUAAUUCUCUCCAUCAAGCCCAACAGCCCCCUCUUUUUAACCCUCUCCACCAAGCCCAAAACAAAAACAAUUUCCAAGCCCAACAACAAACUAAUAAAAGCCUAGAACAACAAUCCAAGCCCAACCCAGUUUUUAAAAAACCUUCCUAUGCUAAUGUUACUAAUCCCGCUCAUAUUCUUAAUCCCAAUGCUCCAACUCACCCGAAAUCAUUUGUGGAUACAGUUGCGGGCGUGUCCACCACAAUUCCUCCUAAACCGAUUUCUCUGGUCCGCGGCGAACCGGCUGUACAUUUUUCGGCUGCAGAAAUUCAAACAAUGGCAGAACCAUUCAAAUUAUCCCUCGUAGGUAAAUUUUCUUUUGGCCGACCUCCUAUGGAAUUAAUCAGAAAAUUUUUUGUUUCUCUUGGUCUCAAAGGAAAUUGCCAAAUAUCUUUAUUGGAUUCUCGCCAUGUUUUAAUUAAACUUGUUUUAGAAGAGGAUUAUUCUAGAAUUUGGUUGCGACAGACAUGGUUUAUUAAUGGGCGGGGCAUGCGAGUCUUUAAAUGGAGCACUGAUUUUCGGUGUUCCGUAGAGUCUCCGAUUGUUCCGGUUUGGGUGUCAUUACCUCAUUUACCUGUGCAUUUCAUUCAUUGUAAAUCUGCUCUUUGCUCCAUUGCUUCUGCCAUUGGUACCCCACUUCGGGUUGACCACGCUACGGCUUCGGUUACUCGGCCGACUGUAGCUCGUGUUUUAGUGGAGUAUGAUGUUUCCAAGCCGUUAUUACCGCGCAUAUGGAUUGGUGAGGGGGAGUCAGGUUUCUGGCAAGAUGUGGUUUUUGAACGAGCUCCGGCCUAUUGUGCUACUUGCAAACAUCUCGGCCAUUCUGUGGACUCUUGUUAUAUUGCUAAUCCGGAGCUUCGCAAGACUCAGCCUGCAGCUGGGGCCCAGUCCAGAGACGAGGGCAAAAUGAAGAAAUCUGACACCGUGAUUCAGCCACAGCAGCCUAGUACUACCCGUUUUGUGGUUAUUUCUGAUCACCGCACUCAGGGCCCGAGUACCCAGCCUCCAGUAGAUCCGUCUCCGGCCCCCCCGCUCGAUGAGUCUCGGCCAGUGGACACUUCGCCGCCAGGCGCACCCUUGGAUCAUCCUGCUUCACACCCCGAUGAUGUCUCUACCUCCCCGGGUAUUAUUCCAGUGCACACAGCGGACCACACUCAGGUUGGAUUUAACUCACAUUCCACAGAUAUCCCCGACCUUGAUGAUGGUGAUAGGCAUAGACGUUUGGGUUUAUCCCGUUCGACUGAGGACGUCCCCCCUGAUUCAGACAGAGAGUUGGGCGAUGAGGGUCGGUUCCUCACUGAUUCUGAGGAGAUUCAUCCACCACCAGCCCCAGAUGCAGUUAUUGAGAGCUUUGAUAGUGAGCGGGUCGCGAGCUCUUCUCGGGAUUUCUCCCCCGUGCAGGGUCGCCGUCUCCGUAGCCAUCAGAGGCGGAUGCGGCAUCGUUCCCCCACUCCUGAUGAUUAGUUCCCUUAUUUGGAACAUUCGGGGGAUUGGCAAAACCCCCGCCAUCCGCAGAUUGCGGAAAUUGAUUCAUAUGCAUCGCUUGUCUUUGAUUUGUAUUUUGGAGCCGUUUAUUUCGGUGGAUCGUCUCGAGGCUAUCAGGGUGCAACUUGGGAUGGAGCAUGGUCUUUCUUCUCAGUCUGGGAAGAUUUGGAUUUUUUGGUCGGCUCCUUUCUCGGUGGAGCUGCUUCACGACAUGGGGCAGGUGCUUCAUUGCCGGGUUAGUCACUCUCUACUUCCCGAUCCAGUAUUAGUUUCGUAUGUUUAUGCUAGUUGUUUUAUGGAUGUUCGUGAGGAUUUAUGGGCUGCUCUAGAGUCCUUUGCCGAUAGCCAUGAUCUCCCGUGGAUUGUUGGAGGUGAUUUCAAUGUUGUUCAGGCUGUAUCAGAGAUUUCUGGCGGUCACCCUCAGCCUCAGGGGGCCAUUGAUGCUUUUAACUUAGCAUUGCUUGAUUGUGGUUUAGAGGAUGCAGGCUUUGUUGGUAGUCCAUUUACUUGGACUAAUGGCCACACCUGGCGGCGGCUUGAUAGAGUUGUUUGCAAUGCCCGUUGGUCAGCUUUUUUCUCCGUUUUUCGGGUCUCGCAUCUGAACCGCACCGCAUCCGAUCAUUCUCCCCUUCUCCUGUCUUGGGAUCGAGAUACGACUAGAGGCCCUUCUCGGUUUAAAUUCCUCCAUGUUUGGCUCAAGCACCCGGGGCUCAUUGAUAUUGUGCGGCACUCCUGGAAUGCUCCGGUGGUCGGUGCUGGGAUGAGGGCCUUUCAGCAGAAGCUUGUCCGGUUGAAGCUCUGCUUGAAAGCUUGGAAUAAAGAUAUAUUUGGCAACGUCUUCUCUCAGGUUCAGCAGGCGGAGGAGGAGGUGGCUCAGAAGGAGAGAUUGUAUGAUAUUUCUGGUUCCGCUGAUGACAGAGCUUCCUUUUCUGAGGCUAGGGCUCGAUUACAGCAGGCUUUGCUCCGUGAGGAGAUUUUUAUGCGCCAGCAGUCUAGUGUUCGAUGGGUCCGCGAGGGCGACUCCAACACCCGCUUUUUCCACGCCAUGAUCCGGAAAAAGCGUCAGUUAUUCCAUAUCCACAGGAUUCGUGAUGAUUCUUCUUCUGAGUGGAUUACUGAUCCCUCUGCUGUUGCCACUUCUGCUGUUGAUUUCUUUCGGGAUUUAUUGUCUGGGGACGAUGGGCGGUUCCAGCAGACUGAUUUCGACACCAUUCCCACUCUUGUGACUGCGGAGGAUGAUGCCGUUUUAUGCAGGGAGCCGGAUCUUGAUGAUGUUAGACGGGCGGUCUUUUCCAUUGAUCCUGAGAGCGCCCCGGGUCCUGAUGGCUUCUGCAGCAGGUUUUACCAGGUUUGCUGGGACAUUGUAGGGCGGGACUUAUUAGAUGCUGUUCUUGACUAUUUCCGAGGUUCGGCCAUGCCCAGGGGCUUCCAGAGCACUUUAUUGGUCCUUCUGCCCAAGAAGGAAUCCCCUUCCUCUUGGAUUGACUUCCGGCCGAUCAGUCUCUGUAACGUGAGCAACAAGGUUAUCACCAAGUUGCUUGUUCAGAGACUGUCACCCAUUCUGCCUCGGAUUAUUUCCCCUACUCAGAGUGGUUUUGUUCCCGGACGGGUAAUUCAUGACAACGUGCUCCUAGUUCAGGAACUCGCUCACGAUCUCAACCGCCGUACCCGCGGGCACAAUGUGGUGUUGAAACUCGAUAUGGAAAAGGCUUAUGAUCGUAUGUCUUGGCCAUUCAUUCUCCAGAUGCUUCGUUGCUUUGGGUUCUCGGAGCGUUGGAUUUCUCUGAUUCGGAGAGCUGUCUACGGCCCUUGGUUCUCGGUGCUUGUGAGUGGAGCCAUUCACGGGUAUUUUCAGUCUGAGAGGGGACUUCGGCAGGGCGAUCCCAUUUCUCCUUGCCUCUUUAUUAUUGCCGCUGAGUUUCUAUCUCGAGGUUUAACCCACCUGUAUUCUCGGUAUCCUUCGGUUAGGUACCGAUCGGCUGCUCCUACGGAUAUCUCCCAUUUGAGCUUUGCGGAUGACAUUGUUAUUUUUGCAAAUGGGAGCCGCGGUAGUUUACAGCGGAUUAUGGAUUUCCUUCGCCACUAUCAGGCGGUUUCGGGGCAGUUGAUUAGUCGGACCAAGAGCGGCUUCUACAUCGGGAAACCAGCCUCAGCUUCAUGUCGGACUAUUGUGCACUCAGUUACUGGUUAUCAGUGGCGACAGCUCCCUUUUAUUUAUCUUGGGUGUCCGAUUUUCACCGGGUGCCUCAAGAUUUCUUAUUUUGAUGAUUUGGUCCGGAAGGUCAGGGAGAGGAUCUCCGGCUGGGCCAACCGAUUGCUCUCCUUUGGUGGGAAGCUGAUUCUCAUUCGUCACGUGCUGUCUGCUUUGCCUUUGCAUUUAUUUCAUGUUCUCCGUCCUCCCUCGACGGUGAUCCAGAGCUUAGAGAGAUUAUUCACCCGAUUUUUAUGGGGGGACUCCGAGGGGCGACGGCGGAUCCACUGGUGUAGAUGGCCGGCAGUUUGUUUUCCCGUUGAUGAGGGCGGUCUCGGCAUUCGGUCCUUCGAUGAUAUGGCAGAGGCUUUUGAGAUGAAACUCUGGUGGCGGUUCCGUCAACAGAGUUCUCUUUGGGCUUCCUUUAUGAAGUCCAAGUACUGUAGAUCCGUGCAUCCGGGUGUUAUUCAGUUUCGAUAUCCUGCCUCCCCCCUUUGGAGACGCCUUUGUUCGAUUCGCGAGACGGCUGGACCCCACGAGCGUUGGCUUGUUGGGCAGGGCGAGUGCAGUUUCUGGUAUGAUUGUUGGUUGGGCUCUUGCCCCUUAUAUUUGUUUAACCCCGCAGCGGCAUCCUCGCGGCCGGUUUCUUUUUAUUGGCAGGGUGCAGUAUGGGACAGAGGUAAACUGGCGGACAUCCUGCCUAUAUCUAUUGUGGAGCAGAUUUUAUUGGUGCCUAUUUCUUGUGAGGAGCCCGACUUGAUUCGUUGGGAUCUUAGCCCCGAUGGCAACUUUCACUUACGGACCGCUUGGGAGCUUGUGCGGAGCCCCAGACCGAGAGAUGAGGUUUAUUCCAUUAUUUGGCAGAGGCAUAUCCCAUCGAGAGUAUCUUUUUUUCUCUGGCGCCUCAUUCACGGUUAUCUUGCCACUGACGAUGCCUUGUGCUUGAGGGGAUUCCACAUGGUUUCUAGGUGUUUGUGCGGACGGGCAGCGGAGACUCUUCGACACCUUUUUCUGGAUUGCCCGAGGACCCGCCAUAUUUGGGGCCACUACCAGUGGAUUUUGGGGAUGCGACAGCUUGAUUUUUUAUCCCCCCGUGCUCUGCUCCUGACCUGGAGACUUCGUGCCCCUUCCCGGACUCAUAUGUUGGUCCUCCUGCCUUGCUUCAUUCUGUGGCAGGUUUGGAAGGCCCGCAACGCUUACCGGUUUCACUCACAGUCUUUUUCUCCUGAUGCAGUCAUAUUUCAGGUUGCAUCCGACCUUAGACUUGCUGGUUCUGCUUUUGGUUUCAAGCCUCCCCAACUGCGGGGAGUCUUGAAUUCCCGGUUUUUGGAGGGUCUCAGAGUUCUUGUACCGCCUCGGAGGCCGGUUCGCCUAGUUGCCUGGAUGAGACCGCCGCCUGGGGUGGUCAAGCUGACAGUGGAUGGUUGCUCGAGGGGCAACCCUGGGAUGGCUGCUUCCGGGGGCAUCUUACGGGAUUAUCGGGGUGCAGUUCUAGCCGCAUUUGGUUCUUUCCUGGGCCAUCAGCCCAUCUUAUAUGCUGAGCUCAUGGCGAUUUGCGAGGGCUUGGAGUUAGCGUCACGACUUGGCCACUCGGUUCUUGAGGUAGAGUCGGAUUCGGCCACGGUGGUUUCAUGGGUUCACUCUCAGGGUUCUGUCCGAUGGGAUUAUUCUUACCUUCUCCGUCGAGCGUGUCGCCUGAUAUCUUCCGCUUCCAUUCAGGUGAGACAUGUCCUACGCGAGGCUACUUCUGCAGCAGACUUCUUGGCCAACUGGGCCUGCACUCAUCGAUCUAGUCGGCAUUUCUCUUCCCCUCAGGAGCUCCCUAGCGGCUUAUCGGGUAUCCUCCACACAGACGCCCAGUCGAUCCCGUAUGUGCGACGAUAGGCUUUUUUAUUACUAUUUCCUUUUGUAUUUCAUUAUCUUGCGGAGGUCUUGGCUCAUGUCCCCCUCCUUGUAUCUUCCGCUCUUUUCGGAUAUAUUUGACAGGUAGGGGUCCCGCCUAACCCCCCACCUUUUCUUUGGUGGUUUCAAAAAAAAAAAAAAACCCUAAAACCCUAAACCCUAAACCCUAAACCCUAAACCCUAAACCCUAAACCCUAAACCCUAAACCCUAAACCCUAAACCCUAAACCCUAAACCCUAAACCCUAAACCCUAAACCCUAAACCCUAAACCCUAAAAACCCUAAACCCUAAAACCCUAAACCCUAAACCCUAAACCCUAAACCCUAAACCCUAAAAUCCUAAAACCCUAAAACCCAAAACCCUGAAACCCUUAACCCUAAAACCCUAAACUCUAAACCCUUAACCCUUAAACCCUAAACCCCAAACCCCAAACCCCAAACCCCAAACCCCCAAACCCCCAACCCCCAAACCCUAAACCCCUAAACCCCUAAACCCCUAAAACCCUUAACCCUAAACCCUUAACCCUUAACCCUUAACCCUUAAACCCUAAAACCCCGAAACCCCAAACCCCUAAACCCCAAACCCCAAACCCCUAAACCCCAAACCCCAAACCCCAAACCCCAAACCCUAAAACUCCAAACCCUAAAUCCUAAACCAAACCAAAAAACCCAGAUCUGCUACAAUAGCGUUUUGGUGCAGUAUCGAAGGGAAUUCAAAGGACAACGUGCUGGAAGUGGUGGUGUACAUUAACUCGCCGGCAUCACUGUAGCAAUUUGAGAGAAAAUGUCACUGUACCAAAACGCUACUGUAGCAGAUCCGGGUUUUUUGGUUUGGUUUAGGGUUUGGGGUUUUAGGGUUUGGAGUUUGGGGUUUGGGGUUUGGGGUUUAGGGGUUAGGGGUUUUAGGGUUUAAGGGUUAAGGGUUAAGGGUUAAGGGUUAAGGGUUAAGGGUUAAGGGUUAAGGGUUAAGGGUUUAGGGUUUAGGGUUUAGGAUUUUAGGGUUUUAGGGUUUAGGGUUUAGGUUUUAUGGUUUUGGGGUUUGGGGUUUGGGGUUUGGGGUUUGGGGUUUGGGGUUUGGGGUUGAGGGUUGAGGGUUUAAGGUUUAGGGUUUUAGGGUUUGGGGUUUGGGGUUUGGGGUUUGGGGUUUGGGGUUUGGGGUUUGAGGGUUUUAGGGUUUUAGGGUUUAGGGUUUAGGGUUUAGGGUUUGAGGGUUUAAGGGUUUGGGGGUUUGAGUUUUUAGGUUUCUGGGUUUUUGGGUUUUUGGGUUUAGGGUUUUAGGGUUUAGGGUUUAGGGUUUAGCGUUUAGGGUUUAGGGUUUUUAGGGUUUUUAGGGUUUAGGGUUUAGAGUUUUUAGGGUUUAGGGUUUUUAGGGUUUAGGGUUUAGGUUUUUUUUUUUUAACCAACAAACUCCAUAUGCAUUUAAUAAUCAAUCAGUCACAUAUGCUCUUGUUUCCCUUGUAUUUUGCCAACAGAAAAUAUCAAACAAGAAAGAAGUGUCGGAUGAGACUGAAGAAAACGAAAAAAAAAAAAAAGCAAAACCCUAAAUUGGUCACAGAUACGAUGUCGUUUGGGUUAAUUGAUGUCGGCAUCAUCGAAAUCGUCCUCGAACUUGUUGAAAAAGUCGGCGUCGGCGGGCUUGUUGUCGAUGGAGAUGACGCCCUCGCUGAAGAUCUCCAGUGGGUCGACGUCGUCAACGUCCAUCGCUUCCGUGGCUCCCUAAUCCUCCAUAUCUCCGAAGAAUUCCAUCUGCAUCGGCCUCAUGUUUUUUUUUUUUUGGUUUUUCUUUUUCCCCCUUCUCUCUCCAGUGACGGAAUCGAAGGAGCUGGAGAAUAAUAAACUACGAUGUCGUUUUUCACUCCCGGUUUAGGGUUUAGGGUUUAGGGUUUUUUUUUAUUUAAAACCACCAAUGAAAAGGUGGGGGGUUAGGCGGGACCCCUACCUGUCAAAUAAAUCCGAUAAAGAUAGAGAUACAGAGGAGGGGGACAUGAGCCAAAACCUCCUAGAGAUAAUGAAAUACAUAAUGAAAUAUGACAAAACCUAUCGUCUCACAUAUGGGAUCGACUGGGCGUCUGUGCGAAGGAUACCCAAUAAGCCUCUAGGCAGCUCCUGAGGGGAAGAGAAACGCCGACUAGAUCUAUGAGAGCAGGCCCAGUUGGCCAAGAAGUCUGCUGCAGAAGUAGCCUCUCGGAGGACAUGCCUCACCUGAAUGGAAGCCGAAGAAAUCAAGCGACAUGCCUGACGCAUAAUAUACGAAUAAUCUCACCGAACUGGACCUUGGGAGAGAACCCAUGACACCACUGUAGCAGAAUCCGACUCAACCUCAAGAACCGAGUGGCCCAGCUGAGAAGCCAACUCCAAACCCUCACAAAUCGCCAUGAGCUCAGCAUAUAAGAUAGGCUUGUGGCCCAGGAAUGAUCCAAAUGCAGCUAAAGCAACACCACGGUGAUCCCGUAAGAUGCCCCCGGAAGCAGCCAUUCCAGGGUUGCCUCUCGAGCAUCCAUCCACAGUCAGCUUGACCACUCCAGGAGACGGUCUGAUCCAUGCAACUAAUCGAAUCGGUCUCCUAGGGGUAGCCAAGACUCUCAAACCCUCCAAAAACCGGGAAUCCAAGACUCCCCUCAGUUGGGGAGGCUUGAAACCAAAAGCAGAACCAGCAAGCCUAAGGUCGGAUCCAACCUGAAAGAUAACUGCAUCAGUAGAAAAAGACUGCGAGUGGAACCGGUAAGCAUUUCGGGCCUUCCAAACUUGCCACAAAAUGAAGGAAGGCAGAAGGACCCAAAGAUGGUUCCGGGAGGGGGCACAACGUCUCCAGAUGAGAAGCAGCGCACGGGGAGACAUAAAACCAAGCUCUCGCAUCCCCAAAAUCGCUGGUAGUGACCCCAAAUGUGACGGGUCCUCGGGCAGUCCAAAAAAAGGUGUCGAAGGGUCUCAUCCUCCCGACCGCACACACACCUAGAAACCAUGUGAAAUCCCCUCGAGCACAAGGCAUCAUCGGUAGCUAGAAAACCAUGAAGAAGUCGCCAGAGAAAAAAAGAGACUCUCGAUGGGAUGUGUCUCUGCCAGAUAAUGGAAUAAACCUCAUCUCUCGGCCUAGUGCACCGCAUAAGCUCCCAAGCAGUCCGUAAAUGAAAUGUGCCAUCGGGGCUAAGGUCCUACCGAAUCAAGUCAGGCUCCCCACUAGAAAUAGGCACCAAUAAGAUCUGCUCAACAAUAGACGUAGGCAGGAUGUCCUCCAGUUUGCCUCUGUCCCAUACUGUGCCCUGCCAAUAAAAAGAAACCGGCCUCGAGGAAGCCGCUGCAGGGUUAUAAAGAUAUAAGGGGCAUGAGCCCAACCAGCAGUCAUACCAGAAACUACAAUCUCCCUGCCCAACCAGCCAGCGCUCAUGAGGACCUGACGUACAACGAAUCAUACAAAGGCGUCUCCAUAGAGGGGAGGCAGGAUAGCGAAACUGUAUCAUACCCGGGUGCGAGGAUCUGCAUUACUUGGACUUCAUAAAAGAAGCCCAAAGGGAACUCUGCUGACGGAACCGCCACCAGAGUUUGAUCUCAGAGGCCUCUGCCAUAUCAUCGAAGGACCGAAUGCCGAGGCCGCCCUCAUCUACUGGAAAACAGACUGCCGGCCAUCUACACCAGUGGAUCCGGCGUCUCCCCUCUGAAUCACCCCAUAAGAACCGGGUGAACGAUCUCUCUAAGCUCUGGAUCACCGUCGAAGGAGGACGGAGAACAUGAAAUAAAUGCAAAGGCAAAGAAGACAGCACGUGGCGAAUGAGAAUCAGCUUCCCACCAAAGGAGAGCAGGCGGUUGGCCCAGCCGGAGAUCCUCUCCCUGACCUUCCGGACCAAAUCAUCAAAGUAAGAAAUCUUGAGGCACCCUGUGAAGAUCGGGCACCCGAGAUAAAUAAAAGGGAGCUGUCGCCACUGAAAACUAGUAACUGAGUGAACUAUAGCCCGACAUGAUGCUGGAGCCGACUUCCCAAUGUAGAAGCUGCUCUUGGCCUGACUAAUCAACUGCCCCGAAACCGCCUGAUAUCGCUGCAAGAAAUCCAUGACCCGCUGUAAACUACAGCGACUCCCAUUUGCAAAAAUAACAAUGUCAUCCGCAAAGCUCAAAUGGGAAAUGUCAGAAGGGGCAGCAGAACGGUACCUAACCGAAGGGUACCGAGAAUACAAAUGGUCUAAACCUCGAGAUAAGAACUCAGCAACAAUAAUAAAGAGGCAAGGGGAAAUGGGGUCUCCCUGACGAAGACCCCUCUCGGACUGAAAAUACCCGUGAAUGGCACCACUCACAAUCACCGAAAAUCAAGGGCCGUAGACUGCUCUCCGAAUCAGAGAAAUCCAACGCUCCGAGAACCCAAAGCAGCGAAGCAUCUGAAGAAUGAAGGGCCAAGACAUCCGGUCAUAAGCCUUUGCCAUAUCGAGCUUUAACACCACAUUGUUCCCACGGGUACGGCGGCUGAGAUCGUGAACGAGUUCCUGAACUAGGAUCACGUUGUCAUGAAUCACCCGUCCGGGAACAAAAUCGCUCUGGGUAGGGGAGAUGAUACGAGGCAGAAUGGGGGACAACCUUGGUGAUAACCUUGUUGCUCACGUUACAGAGACUAAUCGGCCGGAAGUCAACCCAAGAGGAGGGAGAUUCCUUCUUGGGCAGAAGGACCAAAAAAGUACUCUGAAAUCCCCUGGGCAUGGCCGAACCUCUGAAAUAGUCGAGAACAGCAUCUAGCAAAUCACGACCUAUGAUGUCCCAACAAGACUGGUAAACCUGCUGCAGAAGUCAUCCGGACCCGGGGCACUCUCAGGAUCAAUGGAAAAAACUGCCCGUCUAACAUCAUCAAUAUCCGGCUCCCUACAUAAAUCCACAUCAUCCUCUGCUGUCACCAGGGUGGGAAUGAUGUCAAAAUCAGUCUGCUGGAAUUGGCCGGAGUCUCCUGACUGUAACUUCCGAAAAGAACAGACAGCAGAGUCGGCAAUAGCAGAAGGAUCAGUAAUCCACUCAGAAGAUGAAUCAUCACGAAUCUUGUGAAUAUGAAAUAACUGACGCUUCUUCCGAAUCAUCGCAUGGAAGAAGCGGGUGUUAGAGUCACCCUCUCGGACCCAUCUAACACAGGACUGCUGGCGCAAAAAGAUCUCCUCACGGAGCAAAGCCUGCUGCAACCGAGCCCUAGCCUCAGAAAAAGACGCUCUGUCAUCAGCGGAACCAGAAAUAUCAUAUAAUCUCUCCUUCUGCGCCACCUCCUCCUCCGCCUGCUGAACCUGAGAGAAGACGUUGCCAAACACAUCUUUAUUCCAAACUUUCAAACAGAGCUUCAAUCGAACAAGCUUCUGCUGAAAGGCUCUCAUCCCGGCGCCGAUUACCGGAGCAUCCCAGGAGUGCCGCACAAUAUCAAAGAAACCCAGAUGCUUAAGCCAUACAUGGAGGAACUUAAACCGAGAAGGGCCUCUAAUAGUAUCUCUAUCCCAGGACAGAAGAAGAGGAGAGUGAUCGGAUGCAAUACGAUUCAGGUGAGAGACCCGAAAAACGGAGAAAAAAGCUGACCAACGAGCGUUGCAGACUACUCUAUCAAGCCGCCUCCAUGUGCGCCCAUUAGUCCAAGUAAACGGACUGCCAACAAAGCCCGCAUCCUCUAAACCAAAAUCAAGCAAUGCUAAAUUAAAAGCAUCUAUAGCCCCCUGAGGUUGUGGAUGGCCGCCUGAAAUCUCCGAGACAGCCUGAACAACAUUGAAAUCACCUCCUACGAUCCACGGGAGGUCAUGACUAUCGGCAAAGGACUCAAGAGCAACCCAUAAAUCCUCUCGAACAUCCAUAAGACAACUAGCAUAAAUGUAUGAUACUAACACAGAGUCAGGGAGGAGAGAGUGACUAACCCGGCAAUGGAGUACCUGGCCCAUGUCGUGCAGCAGCUCCACCGAGAAAGGAGCCGACCAAAAAAUCCAAAUCUUCCCAGACUGAGAAGAAAGAGCAUGAUCCAUCCCAAGCUGCACCCGGAUAGCCUCAAGACGAUCCAUCGAAAUAAACGGCUCCAAAAUACAAAUCAAAGACAGCCUAUGCAUACGAAUCAAUUUCCGCAAUCUGCGGAUGGCGGGGGUUUUUCCAAUCCCCCGAAUGUUCCAAAUAAGAGAACUAAUCAUCAGGGGUGGGGGAGCGAUGCCGCAUCCGCCUCUGAGUGUUACGGUAUUUACGACCCGUAACUAGAGAGAAAUCCCGAGAAGAGCUCGCAAUCCGUACACUAUCAAAGCUCUCAAUAACUGCAUCUGGGGCGGUCGGGGUAUGAACCUCUUUAGAAUCAGUUAGGAACCGACCCUCAUCACCCAACUCUCUGUCUGAAUCAGAAGGGAUCUCCUCAGUCGAGCGAGAUAGACCCAAACGUCGAUGCUCAUCACCAUCGUCAAAAUCAGGAAUAUCCGUGGAGUGUGAGUUAAAUCCAACCUGAGCGUGAUCGGCUAUAUGCACCGGUAUAUCGCUGGGAAUAGUGGUAACAUCACCUGAGUGUGAAGCACUGGGAUCCAAGGGAGCUCCUGGUGCCGAAGUUCCCACCGGCCGAGACUCAUCAUGCGGGGGGCCCUGAGUCAAGUCCACUGGAGACUGAGUACUAGGUCCUUGAGUGCGGUGAUCUGAAGUAACCACAAAUCGGGGAGUACUAGGCUUCUUUGGCUGGAUCACUGUAUCAGAGUUCUUCAUUUUGCCCUUGUCUCUGUCCUGGACCCCAUCGGCAGUCUGGGCCUUACGAAGCUCCGGAUUAGCAAUAUAACAAGAUUCCACAGAAUGUCCGAGAUGUUUGCAAGAAUUACAGUAGGCCAGAACUCGUUCAAAAACCACAUCCUGCCAGAAACCUGACUCCCCCUCACCAAUCCAGAUGCGAGGUAAUAACGGCUUUGAAACAUCAUAUUCCACUAAUACUCGAGCUACAGACGGCCGAUUAACCGAAGCCGUUGCGUGGUCAACCCGAAGUGGAUUACCAAUAGUAGAAGCAAUUGAGCAAAGAGCAGAUUUACAAUGAAUGAAAUGCACAGGUAAAUAAGGCAGAGAAACCCAAACCGGAACAAUCGGAGACUCUGCUGAACACCGGAAAUCAGUGCUCCAUUUAAAGACUCUCAUGCCUCUUCCAUUAAUAAACCAUGUCUGUCUCACCCAAAUUCUAGAAUAAUCCUCUUCUAAAGCAAGUUUAAUUAAAACAUGGCGAGGAUCCAAUAAAGAUAUUUGGCAAUUUCCUUUUAGACCUAGAGACACAAAAAAUUUUCUAAUUAAUUCCAUAGGAGGUCGGCCAAAAGAAAAUUUACCUACGAGAGAUAAUUUGAAUGGUUCCGCCAUUGUUUGAAUUUCCGCAGCCGAAAAAUGUACAGCCGGCUCGCCUUUGACCAAGGAAAUCGAUUUUUGAGGAAUGGUGGUUGAAACUCCCGCAACUGCAUCCACAAAUGAUUUCGAGGGAAUUGGAGCAUUUGGGUUAAGAAUAUUAGCGGGAUUAAUAACAUUGGCGUAUGAAGGCUUUUUAAAAAUUAGGUUGGGUUUGGGUGGGUGUUCUAGGCCUUUAUUAUUUUGAUUUUGGGCUUGAGAAUGGUUUUGAUUUUGGGCCUGGUGGAGAGAAUUAAAAGAAGUGGGCUGUUGGGCUUGUGAAAGGGUUUGGUUAUGUGGAUGUUGGGUUCGGGUUUGGUGAUUAUUUGGGUGGAUUCGGGUUUGGUUUUUUGGGUUAUGGACUCGGGUUUGGAUGGGUGGAAACGGGUUGGCAGUAGGGUUUUGUGAUGUUUGCAAAAUUAGGGCCAGCUGCUGCUUCUCUCUUGCUGCGGUUGUGGAGUUGGAUGUCAAGGGUGGGAUUGACUGGAAAGGGGUUGUAGAUGUUGGUGGAGUUGAGCUCGGCCGCAGCAUGGCGUCGACGGCCGCGGCGAUGGUGGCUGUCAGGUUUGAGAUGAAAUCGACGCAGCUGGAAGUUUCUGCAGUUGUUGCCAACGUGGUUUCCGGGAACUGAAGGUUGGAUGGCUGAUUCAGAUCAUCAUGUGCUUGUUAACAUAUAUGUUUCCAUAAUAUUGUUUUUGAUGAUAACAAACAAGAUUAAGAAUGGUUAAUCUUUUAAGAUCAAAUUAUUUUUUAUACAUUUUAAAUAAAUCAUUAUUUUCACAUUUUAAAGGUUUUAUAUUUAAUGGAAAAAUGAUUUUAUGAAAUUGAUUGUUUUUAUUCUUUUUAAAUAAAUCAUUAUUUUCACAUUAUAAAUGUUUCAUAUUUAAUUGAAAAAUGAUUUUAUGAAAUUGGUUGUUUUUCAAAGUUUAUGGUUUAAUUGAAAGAAUUUUGAAUACUUUGAAAUAAACAAGUAUUGCUUGAAAUUUUGGAAAAUGACUUAUUUGAAAAGUGUCAUAGCAUUUUGGGCUAUAUCAUAAUUUCAGAAAGUUUUGAGAUUAACAAAGCAUUAUUUAGAAAUUCUGAAAUUGGACCUGUUUGCAAACUUUCAGAACGUUUUGGGCCAUAAUACAGUUUUAUAAAGUUUUGGGGUCAAACUGUAAAUUUAAAAAUCACUGUAGCAAUCACUGUAGCAAACGGCUAACCGUUUAUUUAAAAGGGCUAACCGAUAAUUUCCAGAAAGCAUGUUCUGCAUAGUAUUGUUAAAAUGAUGAUUCUGGAACAUAACGGUGAACCGUUUACUGAAAACGGUUAACCGAUUACUUCCAAAUUGCUAACCUUGAACCGUUUAGUAAGAACGGUUAAACCAAAUUAGUUUUGCAGGUCUUUGGAAGUUAACGGCGAAAGGGUAAUCCUAAACGGUAAACCGUUUAUUUGAAAAUUGGCCCAACGGUAACUUUGACCGGCCUAAACGGUUAACCGUUAAUGGUUAACGGCGAACCGUUUUUGAGCAGACAGUCUAUAACGGCUAGUUUUUCAGCUCCAACUAUAAAUAUGCUCAAUCCAAUUCAAACAAGAUGAAUUCCAACGAUCAUCAUUGAGCUUUAAAUCUUUGUAUUCAUCUUAUUCAUUCACACAUUGAGCUUUUACUUGUGAUCAAACACAUUAUGUGAGAGAGAUUCAUUUGUAAUUUUUUUUGUAAAAUCAAGUUAAAAGAUUGUAAGUGUUGGGAUACACUUGGGUUAAGAGAUUGGGGAUAAUCUCUUGUUGUAAAGGUCCAUUGACACCUUGGAAGUCAAUUGUAAGCGUUUGAAACCUUGGGAGGCUAGCUUAGUGAAAUCCUCAAGCCCGGUGAGCUUGGAGGCGUGGACGUAGGCGGGGAUUGCCGAACCACGUAAAAAUCAUUGUGUUUGUUUUCUCUUCCCUUACUCUUUUAUAUUGUGAUUGAUUUAUUUGUUAUUGCUUUAAAUUAGUUUUGGAUUUGCAUUGAGUUUUGUUUUAGAAUUGAAUAAUUUUUAAUAUCCCAAUUCACCCCCCUCUUGGGUUGCCUAGUUAGUAUUUCAUUUGGUAUCAGAGCAAGGUGCUCUUGUGUAGACUUAACCGUCUAGAGUUAAAGAUCCAUAGCAACCCAAAUUAGCUCAAUCAUCAUGGAAGGCCAAUGUACCACUAGACCUCCAUUUUUCGAUGGAAAUGAUUAUCCUUAUUGGAAAACUAGGAUGAGAAUUUAUUUACAAGCUUUAGAUUAUGAAAUUUGGGAAGUUGUUUGUGAUGAUUUAUUCAUUCCUAGAAAGAAUGUUUUAAGUGAGUUAGAUAAGAAAAAGAUAUCUUUAAAUUCCAAGGCUAUGAAUACUUUAUUUUGUGCCUUAGAUAAAAAUGAAUUUCAUAGAGUUUCAAAUUGUUCUAAUGCUUAUGAAAUUUGGAGAAAACUUGAAGUUGUGUAUGAGGAGACUACAAACGAGGAGGAAUCUCAUGAAGUGUCAAAUUUGGCACUUAUGGCAAUUGGAGAUGAAUCGGAUGAUGAACUUGAUGAGGUAAGUGAUCUUCCCACUUAUGAUGAAUUACAUGAUGCGUUUAAAGAAUUGUAUGAUGAAUUAAUGAAAGUUGGUAAAAAGAAUGCAUGUCUUAAAAAAAAAACGGUAGAGCUCACAAAUGAAAUGAAUCUCUAAUUGCAAAGAUUAAUUGCCUAAAAUUAAAAAAUAAACAUUGCAUGAUNNNNNNNNNNNNNNNNNNNNNNNNNNNNNNNNNNNNNNNNNNNNNNNNNNNNNNNNNNNNNNNNNNNNNNNNNNNNNNNNNNNNNNNNNNNNNNNNNNNNNNNNNNNNNNNNNNNNNNNNNNNNNNNNNNNNNNNNNNNNNNNNNNNNNNNNNNNNNNNNNNNNNNNNNNNNNNNNNNNNNNNNNNNNNNNNNNNNNNNAGCAUGAGAAAUCACAUGUUGAUGAAUUAAUAAAUGAAAACGAAACGCUAAGAAAAAAGAGCAAUGAGUUGAAUGAGAUUGUUUUGAAAUUUACAAAUGGGCAAAAGAUGUUGGAUAAUAUGCUUAAUUCACAAAAAUGUGUAUUUGACAAAGGAGGUAUUGGCUAUAAGCCAAAUUUGAAACAAAAGUAUUAUAAGAAUUACUUUGUGAAGAGUACCUCAAUUAACAAUCAAGUUGUAUGUCAUUAUUGUAAUCAAAACGGUCACAUGAAGCUUGGUUGUCCUAUUAAGAGAAAUGUAUAUUAUGGAGUCAAAUGUAUUUGGGUUCCAAAAGGAACUAAAUCUAACAUUCAAGGACCCAAGAGUAUUUGGGUACCAAAGGGCACAACGUGAAGGUUUUCUUUGUAGGUACCACAAUCAAGGAAUGGUGGAGAAGAUCCUUGAUGAAAUCUUGUGAGGAUAAUCCUUGAUGAAUUACAAGAUGAUUUAAUUGUUUUCGUAACAAUUCUUGUCAUAUUAAUUUUGUUGAAUGAAUCAUGAUAAAUGAAUUUGCGAAAGUAUGCUUGUAUGAUUACAUGAUGGAAUUAUCAUUGUGUAUAACAUUGAGUGAUUUCUCAUGAUGUCUUUGUUUGAUUUUGAUGAUUGUAUGGUCUUUGAUUUCAUCUUCUUAAUUGUCUAUCAUCAUUGUCCAUCUCUUAUGUAUAUGUGAAUUCAUAUGCCAUUAAUUGUGUUAUAUUAUUUAUAAAAUUCGCACUAAUUGCACUUGUGAAUUUGAUCACUUGUUCUUUACUCAUAAUGAUGGCUUAUCUUAAUAGCUAUGUUGAUUUUGAUGAUCUUAUAUUGCAAUUAUACACUUAUGUUUUGCUUAAGAUUUGAGAUAAAGAAUAUGCUUUGAUAAUUACAUGUAUUUGAGGAAGUUUGAUCUUAUGGGAUCUAUGAUUGGUGAAUGGAUGCAUUUUUUGUACUUUAUUGAUGUAUUAUCAAAUAUGCAUUACUUGCUUUAAAUAAUAUCGAAAAUGGGAGAAAUACAUAUACUUCGAGAAUUUUAAGCAUAUGAGAUUUUUUUUGUUAUAUUGAAAUGUCACAUUAGAUAUUUGAUGAGUUUAGUUGUCUUUAUUUAUAAAAUGUGAUUGGUAAUUAUGGAGCUUGAAUAUUUGAUAAUAUGCAUGCCAAUUUGGUAAAGAAAUCAAAACCUCUUUGCGAAGAGCAAUUUUCAAAAAUUAGGCAUGAACUUGGAAUGAUGAAAUUUAUAAAUAUCUCUAAUCAUGUUAUUAAUACUAUUAAAUUUGAUUUCUUGAUGAUUUUGAUGAUUGAUGAUUAUAUGUGUGUUGCUUAAUGAAUUGGUAAAGUUGUUGGUUUGUUAUAAUUGUUGAAGCUUAUAUCUUUUUAAUCACGUUGUGUAUUUGAGAAUUUGCUCAUCUUUAAGGGGAGAUAAAUAUGAUAUGUUUUUGGAUAAAAUCAUUUUGGUUAAAAUUUAAAUUUGGCCAUAUAUUUAGGGGAGCAUAUAAUAUGAUUUUGGAUAAUAUGCAUUUUGAAUUUUUUUGUUGUCCAAAGGGGGAGACAAAGUAAUAUAUCAUUUUGAUGUUAUCAAAAAAAAAAAAAGGAGAAUAAUAUGGACUUUUGAAUAUUGUUUUAAUGAUUAAUAUGUGAUUAUGGUGAUGAUUUUGAGAUAUGAUGAUGAUUUGAUUACAUGGGUGUUUUAUAUGAUAAAUUUAUGUUAUGAGUUGUUGACUUAGUAAUUGAUGGAAUAAUGGUUCAUGAUAUUUUUGUGUGAUGAUUUGUGUAUGGAGUUGGCAUGUAUCAUGAUUUAUAAUAUUUUGGGAGUAAUAUUACUAAACUUGUAUUUGAGGUAAUGCUUGUUGAUAGGGGGAGAAUGUGUCAAAAUUUCUACUCGGCUACAUGGGUAACAAAUUUGCUACUCUUUUUCUUUUCCACUAAGUUUUUCUUUUUGAUGAUGAGGGGGAGAAGAAUGCAUGUAUUUAAAUUUGUUAAUUUAGCUAAAUUGUAAGAGAAGCUUACAUUUAGGGGGAGCAAUUUGUGCAAUCAUUUUUUAAAUACAUGAAACGUUUGUCAUCAUCAAAAAGGGAGAGAUUGUUAACAUAUAUGUUUCCAUAAUAUUGUUUUUGAUGAUAACAAACAAGAUUAAGAAUGGUUAAUCUUUUAAGAUCAAAUUAUUUUUUAUACAUUUUAAAUAAAUCAUUAUUUUCACAUUUUAAAGGUUUUAUAUUUAAUGGAAAAAUGAUUUUAUGAAAUUGAUUGUUUUUAUUCUUUUUAAAUAAAUCAUUAUUUUCACAUUAUAAAUGUUUCAUAUUUAAUGGAAAAAUGAUUUUAUGAAAUUGGUUGUUUUUCAAAGUUUAUGGUUUAAUUGAAAGAAUUUUGAAUACUUUGAAAUAAACAAGUAUUGCUUGAAAUUUUGGAAAAUGACAUAUUUGAAAAGUGUCAUAGCAUUUUGGGCUAUAUCAUAAUUUCAUAAAGUUUUGAGAUUAACAAAGCAUUAUUUAGAAAUUCUGAAAUUGGACUUGUUUGCAAACUUUCAGAACGUUUUGGCCAUAAUACAGUUUUAUAAAGUUUUGGGGUCAAACUGUAAAUUUAGAAAUCACUGUAGCAAUUGAAUAAUUUUUAAUAUCCCAAUUCACCCCCCCCUCUUGGGUUGCCUAGUUAGUAUUUCAGUGCUGGUUCCCGAAAGCUAGGUUGGUCGGUAAUGGCUGCUGGAACUUGCUCAGCGGCAGAUCGAAGGUGCGUUGGCUGCGGGUUAGAGUUGCCCGAUCCGGGUGCAGCGAGCUGAGGCACUGCGAACUCAUUACUCUGGGGGUUGGAUGGCUGCUUCAGCUCGUCAUUUGCAGGUUCCCGAAAGCUAGGAUGGUCGUGGAAGGCUGCUGGAACUUGCUCAGAUGCGAAAUGAAGUUGUGAUGGCCGCGGGCUAGUGUUGCCCGAUCCGGAUGCAGUGAGGUUAGGCAUGGCCAACUCAUUGCUUGGCUGGUUUUCGGAGGUGGUUAUUUGUUGUUUAGGAUCAACCAAAGUUGUCAAGGUAGGCGUUGCAGCAACCACCGUGGUGAGGUGCGAAACCCGUGAGCUGGGUUUAGUUUUUGACUGAUUUUUUUUCGUUUUUGGUUGCCGAUUUGUGUCAAGGUGAGGGAUGGAAGGCUUCUGCAGCUUGGAUGUGUUCCCGGAUAUGGCCAAAACGAUGGCAUUUUCCGGGGGGACGUUAGAAGAAGAUGGUCGUGCUUUUGAGUGGAUGUUUUUGGGUAAGGACGGUAGAUCUAGGUUCGGCCGUUGGGUAUGGUGGUCGCCGGCAUGUGAGGGAAGAGUUGAAGGUGGCCGAUCAUCAUCUCCAUCUUCCGAUGAGGCCAUAAUGGCCGGUCAAAGUCUGGUCAACCGAGGGUCAACUUUGGUCAAAGUUGCAUGAACAGUAACAAAAAUUGAGAGCGUUUUUUACUGUAGCAUUUAACAUACUAUUUGUGUCCUAGUGGUUUGCGAACCAAACGUAAGCAUUUUGAAACCCUAAACCCUAAACCCAAACCUCUCUCUAACUUUCUCUCUCUAAAAAAUUCUCUCAACCCAUCUCAACUCAUCCCUCAUGCCCUCCUCCCUUCCCCUACCCUAACUCGCCUCUAUGGCCUCGCCGGCCACCGAUGAUGGCAACCGGGCAACCCCCGGUGACCGGCCGGCCACCGGUGAUAGCUACUGGCAGCCUUACGAUUACGGUGCGAACUACCGCAGCCGUGACUUUCUUUCCGCAGAGGAAGAGGAAAAAAUUAGGAGAGAGGACCCUCCAAGGAAAUCCCUCCGGAAACCUCCAAAAUUCACGAGGGAUCCACCACCCGACAUGGUGGAACCUCCACCCCGGCCAAGGACAAGGCGCUCAAAAAACGCCCUCAACCAACGGCCUGCAACACACACUCCGGAUGCAACUCAACCUCAUCCCGUACCUCCGACAAUACACAUUUCCGAACCACCCAUAUCGUCCAUUUCCGAACCAUCUACAACACCCACUUCCGUCAUCCUAUCCAAACUUUGCCAACCGGUGAAUGUUCAAGAAAAAGGAGUAGAAAAAGGGGAAGAAACCCAAAACACCUCAUCCAUCCGUCCAAUUCCAAGCUCGGGUAACAUUCAUUAUGUUCAAGAAAGUGGCCAAGUUGUAAACCAAAAGAACCCAUCCCUCCCUCCAUCUCCAUGCUCGGGGAACACUCAAAAGGUACAAGAAAAUGGCCGAGAUGAAAUGCUUGGCGAAACUCACAACCUAAACAAUAUGCAUGGCGGCCAACCAAAAGGGCAAACACAAGAGAAAGUAGAAGAAAUCAAAGAAAACCAUGGCCAAAAUCCGUCAUCCCCGUCACCCCCGUCAUCAAUCCAUGAACAAGCCAAAGCUCACGCCACCAACGGCCAAAAUGUGCUUCAUGAAAAUCCCUCUCACUUUUCGGUAAAGCAUAAUCAUAACCACAAUUCUCCCCACCAAAGCUUGUCCCCCACCCACCAAAAGCAAACUCCCACUAUCCAUCACCCAUCAUCCCCUUACAACACCUUCCCGGCUUCCCUCUCCCAACUUAAACAAGCUACGGGCCCCACCACCACUUAUUACUCCACUAAUCUAUUAUCCCAACAACUCUUGUCCCCCAUUCAACAAAUACCAUCCCCCACCACACAUGAUUUUUCUACCAUAAUUUCUCAUCUCCAAACAACACACUCGGCCACUACUCUCCCCCCUCCAAAUUUUCCCACCAAUAAUCCCCAUCUUCACACCAUCCAAGCUAUCGUGGUCCCCACCACUAUAUUGCCUCCCACCCACAACAACAAUUGCCUCCAACCCACCCCAACAGCCAUUUUAUUAAUUUAACCGCCCACCAUCCUUUGUCCCCCACCCAACCCGACAUCCACCUCAAUAAUCUAAUCCCCCACCAACCUUUACACCCCACUCAUCCUAACACCCAUCCCGUGGUCCCCACUCUCACUCCUCAACCCCCACCUUCCACCAUCUCGUUUUCCACAACUCUCUCUCAUCAACCCUUACCUUCCACGUUUUCCUCCACUCUCUCUCCUCAGCCCUCACCCUCCACCAUCUCGGUCUCCACCAUUCCUCUCCCUCCACCAAUUUUUGCCCCCCACUCAUCCCAACACCCACAUACCGUGGACCCCACUCCUCCUCAUCACCCUUCCACUUCCACGUUUCCCUCCAACAAAAUCUCACACACCACUCCUCACCCCAAUAUUUUAAUCCCCCACCUCCCUUUGUCCCCCACCCAACCCAACACCCAUCCCCCACCCGUGGUCCCCACUCCUCUUCAUCAUGCUUCCACCUCUACGUUUCCCCAAAACACAAACACAUUCUCUUACACCACACAUGUUUCCCCCACCACAUCCUCCCAUCCACCUCACACAUUACCCCAUAUCUCAACCAACCCAAUUCCUCCUCCCCAAGCCCAAAAUAACACCCUCAACCCCCAAGCCCAAACUCCUCCUCAAUCCACUACUUCAAACAAAGCCCACCACCCCAACUUAAGCCAUCCAGCGCAUAACCAAAACCAAAAAGAAAAUACUCACCUUCCGCAAGCCCAUAACCAUCCUCAACACCCACCCAAUUUCGGCCCGACAUACGCCUCUAUCCUAAAUUCUGACCCCCAACCCCAAUCGUCACAAGCCUCUCAAAAAAUCNNNNNNNNNNNNNNNNNNNNNNNNNNNNNNNNNNNNNNNNNNNNNNNNNNNNNNNNNNNNNNNNNNNNNNNNNNNNNNNNNNNNNNNNNNNNNNNNNNNNNNNNNNNNNNNNNNNNNNNNNNNNNNNNNNNNNNNNNNNNNNNNNNNNNNNNNNNNNNNNNNNNNNNNNNNNNNNNNNNNNNNNNNNNNNNNNNNNNNNNNNNNNNNNNNNNNNNNNNNNNNNNNNNNNNNNNNNNNNNNNNNNNNNNNNNNNNNNNNNNNNNNNNNNNNNNNNNNNNNNNNNNNNNNNNNNNNNNNNNNNNNNNNNNNNNNNNNNNNNNNNNNNNNNNNNNNNNNNNNNNNNNNNNNNNNNNNNNNNNNNNNNNNNNNNNNNNNNNNNNNNNNNNNNNNNNNNNNNNNNNNNNNNNNNNNNNNNNNNNNNNNNNNNNNNNNNNNNNNNNNNNNNNNNNNNNNNNNNNNNNNNNNNNNNNNNNNNNNNNNNNNNNNNNNNNNNNNNNNNNNNNNNNNNNNNNNNNNNNNNNNNNNNNNNNNNNNNNNNNNNNNNNNNNNNNNNNNNNNNNNNNNNNNNNNNNNNNNNNNNNNNNNNNNNNNNNNNNNNNNNNNNNNNNNNNNNNNNNNNNNNNNNNNNNNNNNNNNNNNNNNNNNNNNNNNNNNNNNNNNNNNNNNNNNNNNNNNNNNNNNNNNNNNNNNNNNNNNNNNNNNNNNNNNNNNNNNNNNNNNNACAGGGCCCCCCCGGCCAACCCGCACACGAGUAAGGAAAGAGCGGCCCCUCCUCCAGGCACUUCUCCUCGAGGCUCCAGACCCGACCCCAGAGCACUCGAGUUUGGCUAUUCAUAUCGUGGAUUCUGUUUCCCCGAUCACCAUGAUCUUCCCUGUCGAGGCUGAUGUCCCCGACUCACUAGCUGCUCCAGACCUGACACCUGAGUCUCAUGAUAUUAGGGCUCCGGAUCCCGGAUUGAGUUUGCCCUGCGACCAUGGAGAGAUUGCCGAUCAUCAUAUCCCUUCAGAGCUCCGAUCUUUUUCGGAUGACCUCGACACGACGGUUGUGGGCUUUAAUACCCAUUGUACCGACGUUCCUUAUGAUGUGGAGAUCAGCGAUGCAGAGGAUCAGCAUUUUGGGUAUGGUGGGACCCACCAGCAUUCCGAGCACCAGAGUGGCAAGGACCGCGAUUCUGAUCACUUAUUGGAUCAAGAUGUUUACUUCUUCCUCCACAUGCAAAUUUAUUAGAACAUGCCGAUUGUCUAAUAAAGAAAUUUGAGAUUUUCCAAGUAAUCCCAAUGAUGCAAAAAAUUUCCGGAUUAAUUCCCAACGAGGUCGGUUGUGGGAAACCUUACCGACCAACGUCAAUUUGAAAGGAGCGGCCAUCGCUUGAACUUCGUCAGUGGAAAAGUGCACGCUCGGCUCUCCUUCGAACGAAGAGACAGACUUGAUUGGAACCGUUGGGGGCGCAGGCCCAUUGAUGAUAUCAACGAACGAUUUUUUGAGAGGCUUGUGACGAUUUGGGUUGGGGUCGGAAUUUAGGAUAGAGGCGUAUGUCGGGCCGAAAUUGGGUGGGUGUUGAGGAUGGUUAUGGGCUUGCGGAAGGUGAGUAUUUUCUUUUUGGUUUUGGUUAUGGGCUGGAUGGCUUAAGUUGGAGUGGUGGGCUUUGUUUGAAGUAGUGGAUUGAGGAGGAGUUUGGGCUUGGGGGUUGAGGGUGUUAUUUUGGGCUUGGGGAGGAGGAAUUGGGUUGGUUGAGAUAUGGGGUAACGUGUGAGGUGGAUGGGAGGAUGUGGUGGGGGAAACAUGUGUGGUGUAAGAGAAUGUGUUUGUGUUUUGGGGAAACGUAGAGGUGGAAGUAUGAUGAAGAGGAGUGGGGACCACGGGUGGGGGAUGGGUGUUGGGUUGGGUGGGGGACAAAGGGAGGUGGGGGAUUAAAAUAUUGGGGUGAGAAGGAGUGGUGUGUGAGAUUUUGUUGGAGGGAAACGUGGAAGUGGAAGGGUGAUGAGGAGGAAUGGGGUCCACGGUAUGUGGGUGUUGGGAUGNNNNNNNNNNNNNNNNNNNNNNNNNNNNNNNNNNNNNNNNNNNNNNNNNNNNNNNNNNNNNNNNNNNNNNNNNNNNNNNNNNNNNNNNNNNNNNNNNNNNUGAGGGUUGAGGAGAGAGAGUGGAGGAAAACGUGGAAGGUGAGGGUUGAUGAGAGAAAGUUGUGGAAAACGAGAUGGUGGAAGGUGGGGGUUGAGGAGUGAGAGUGGGGACCACGGGAUGGGUGUUAGGAUGAGUGGGGUGUAAAGGUUGGUGGGGGAUUAGAUUAUUGAGGUGGAUGUCGGGUUGGGUGGGGGACAAAGGAUGGUGGGGGGUUAAAUUAAUGAGGUGGGUGUUGGGUUGGGUGGGGGACAGUGGUUGGUGGGUUAUUAAAUUAAUAAAAUGGGUGUUGGGGUGGGUGGGAGGCAAUUGUUGUUGGGGAAUUAAAUUAAUGGGUUGUGAUAUAGUGGUGGGGACCACGAUAGCUUGGAUGGUGUGAAGAUGGGGAUUAUUAGUGGGAAAAUUUGGAGGGGGGAGAGUAGUGGCCGAGUGUGUUGUUUGGGGAUGAGAAAUUAUGGUAGAAAAAUCAUGUGUGGUGGGGGAUGGUAUUUGUUGAAUGGGGGACAAGAGUUGUUGGGAUAAUAGAUUAGUGGAGUAAUAAGUGGUGGUGGGGCCCGUAGCUUGUUGAAGUUGGGAGAGGAAAGCCGGGAAGGUGUUGUAAGGGGAUGAUGGGUGAUGGACAGUGGGAGUUUGCUUUUGGUGGGUGGGGGACAAGCUUUGGUAGGGAGAAUUGUGGUUAUGAUUAUGCUUGACCGAAAAGUGAGAGAGAUUUUCAUGAAGCACAUUUUGGCCGUUGGUGGCGUGAGCUUUGGCUUGUUCAUGGAUUGAUGACGGGGGUGACGGGGAUGACGGAUUUUGGCCAUGGUUUUCUUUGAUUUCUUCUACUUUCUCUUGUGUUUGCCCUUUUGGUUGGCCGCCAUGCAUAUUGUUUAGGUUGUGGGUUUCGCCAAGCAUUUCAUCUCGGCCGUUUUCUUGUACCUUUUGAGUGUUCCCCGAGCAUGGAGAUGGAGGGAGGGAUGGGUUCUUUUGGUUUACAACUUGGCCACUUUCUUGAACAUAAUGAAUGUUACCCGAGCUUAGAAUUGGACGGAUGGAUGAGGUGUUUUGGGUUUCUUCCCCUUUUUCUACUCCUUUUUCUUGAACAUUCACCGGUUGGCAAAGUUUGGAUAGGAUGACGGAAGUGGGUGUUGUAGAUGGUUCGGAAAUGGACGAUAUGGGUGGUUCGGAAAUGUGUAUUGUCGGAGGUACGGGAUGAGGUUGAGUUGCAUCCGGAGUGUGUGUUGCAGGCCGUUGGUUGAGGGCUUUUUUUGAGCGCCUUGUCCUUGGCCGGGGUGGAGGUUCCACCAUGUCGGGUGGUGGAUCCCUCGUGAAUUUUGGAGGUUUCCGGAGGGAUUUCCUUGGAGGGUCCUCUCUCCUAAUUUUUUCCUCUUCCUCUGCGGAAAGAAAGUCACGGCUGCGGUAGUUCGCACCGUAAUCGUAAGGCUGCCAGUAGCUAUCACCGGUGGCCGGCCGGUCACCGGGGGUUGCCCGGUUGCCAUCAUCGGUGGCCGGCGAGGCCAUAGAGGCGAGUUAGGGUGGGGGAAGGGAGGAGGGCAUGAGGGAUGAGUUGAGAUGGGUUGAGAGAAUUUUUUAGAGAGAGAAAGUUAGAGAGAGGUUUGGGUUUAGGGUUUAGGGUUUCAAAAUGCUUACGUUUGGUUCGCAAACCACUAGGACACAAAUAGUAUGUUAAAUGCUACAGUAAAAAACGCUCUCAAUUUUUGUUACUGUUCAUGCAACUUUGACCAAAGUUGACCCUCGGUUGACCAGACUUUGACCGGCCAUUAUGGCCUCAUCGGAAGAUGGAGAUGAUGAUCGGCCACCUUCAACUCUUCCCUCACAUGCCGGCGACCACCAUACCCAACGGCCGAACCUAGAUCUACCGUCCUUACCCAAAAACAUCCACUCAAAAGCACGACCAUCUUCUUCCAACGUCCCCCCGGAAAAUGCCAUCGUUUUGGCCAUAUCCGGGAACACAUCCAAGCUGCAGAAGCCUUCCAUCCCUCACCUUGACACAAAUCGGCAACCAAAAACGAAAAAAAAUCAGUCAAAAACUAAACCCAGCUCACGGGCUUCGCACCUCACCACGGUGGUUGCUGCAACGCCUACCUUGACAACUUUGGUUGAUCCUAAACAACAAAUAACCACCUCCGAAAACUAGCCAAGCAAUGAGUUGGCCAUGCCUAACCUCACUGCAUCCGGAUCGGGCAACACUAGCCCGCGGCCAUCACAACUUCAUUUCGCAUCUGAGCAAGUUCCAGCAGCCUUCCACGACCAUCCUAGCUUUCGGGAACCUGCAAAUGACGAGCUGAAGCAGCCAUCCAACCCCCAGAGUAAUGAGUUCGCAGUGCCUCAGCUCGCUGCACCCGGAUCGGGCAACUCUAACCCGCGGCCAACGCACCUUCGAUCUGCCGCUGAGCAAGUUCCAGCAGCCAUUACCGACCAACCUAGCUUUCGGGAACCAGCACUGAAAUACUAACUAGGCAACCCAAGAGGGGGGGUGAAUUGGGAUAUUAAAAAUUAUUCAAUUGCUACAGUGAUUUCUAAAUUUACAGUUUGACCCCAAAACUUUAUAAAACUGUAUUAUGGCCCAAAACGUUCUGAAAGUUUGCAAACAGGUCCAAUUUCAGAAUUUCUAAAUAAUGCUUUGUUAAUCUCAAAACUUUCUGAAAUUAUGAUAUAGCCCAAAAUGCUAUGACACUUUUCAAAUAAGUCAUUUUCUAAAAUUUCAAGCAAUACUUGUUUAUUUCAAAGUAUUCAAAAUUCUUUCAAUUAAACCAUAAACUUUGAAAAACAACCAAUUUCAUAAAAUCAUUUUUCCAUUAAAUAUGAAACAUUUAUAAUGUGAAAAUAAUGAUUUAUUUAAAAAGAAUAAAAACAAUCAAUUUCAUAAAAUCAUUUUUCCAUUAAAUAUAAAACCUUUAAAAUGUGAAAAUAAUUAUUUAUUUAAAAUGUAUAAAAAAUAAUUUGAUGAUCUGAAUCAGCCAUCCAACCUUCAGUUCCCGGAAACCACGUUGGCAGCAACUGCAGAAACUUUCAGCCGCGUCGAUUUCAUCUCAAACCUGACAGCCACCAUCGCCGCGGCCGUCGACGCCAUGCUGCGGCCGAGCUCAACUCCACCAACAUCUACAACCCCUUUCCAGUCAAUCCCACCCUUGACAUCCAACUCCACAGCCGCAGCAAGAGAGAAGCAACAGCCGGCCCUAAUUUUGCAAACAUCACAAAACCCUACUGCCAACCCGUUUCCACCCAUCCAAACCCGAGUCCAUAACCCGAAAAACCAAACCCGAAUCCACCCAAAUAAUCACCAAACCCGAACCCAACAUCCACAUAACCAAACCCUUUCACAAGCCCAACAGCCCACUUCUUUUAAUUCUCUCCACCAGGCCCAAAAUCAAAACCAUUCUCAAGCCCAAAAUCAAAAUAAUAAAGGCCUAGAACACCCACCCAAACCCAACCCAAUUUUUAAAAAGCCUUCAUACGCCAAUGUUAUUAAUCCCGCUAAUAUUCUUAACCCAAAUGCUCCAAUUCCCUCGAAAUCAUUUGUGGAUGCAGUUGCGGGAGUUUCAACCACCAUUCCUCAAAAAUCGAUUUCCUUGGUCAAAGGCGAGCCGGCUGUACAUUUUUCGGCUGCGGAAAUUCAAACAAUGGCGGAACCAUUCAAAUUAUCUCUCGUAGGUAAAUUUUCUUUUGGCCGACCUCCUAUGGAAUUAAUUAGAAAUUUUUUUGUGUCUCUAGGUCUAAAAGGAAAUUGCCAAAUAUCUUUAUUGGAUCCUCGCCAUGUUUUAAUUAAACUUGCUUUAGAAGAGGAUUAUUCUAGAAUUUGGGUGAGACAAACAUGGUUUAUUAAUGGAAGAGGCAUGAGUCUUUAAAUGGAGCACUGAUUUUCGGUGUUCAGCAAAGUCUCCGAUUGUUCCGGUUUGGGUUUCUCUGCCUUAUUUACCUGUGCAUUUCAUUCAUUGUAAAUCUGCUCUUUGCUCAAUUGCUUCUGCUAUUGGUAAUCCACUUCGGGUUGACCACGCAACGGCUUCGGUUAAUCGGCCGUCUGUAGCUCGAGUAUUAGUGGAAUAUGAUGUUUCAAAGCCAUUAUUACCUCGCAUCUGGAUUGGUGAGGGGGAGUCAGGUUUCUGGCAGGAUGUGGUUUUUGAACGAGUUCCGGCCUACUGUAAUUCUUGCAAACAUCUCGAACAUUCUGUGGAAUCUUGUUAUAUUGGGAGUCAAAAGUUACUGAUGUUUGUAUGGAUAAAGAAGUCGAUUGUGUCAUAGUUUAUUCAAAUGGUGUCUCCCAUGAUUCUGAUCAUGAAACAAUUCACAAUCAUCAUGAUGUUGCGAGGCCAUUUGAACAUGUUGACGGGGAUCCUCAACUCCAAAGUUUGGUAGAAAGCACUGAAGUAAAAGAAUAUGAAGUGAAGGAGUGUACCUCAGAGACCUCAAUUGAGGUCGAGAAGGGUAAGGAAGAACAUAAUGUAGUAAGUUCAAUGCCUGAGGCUGGCUUGCCUGCAGAGAAGACCAAACCAGAAGAUGUAAAAACAAAGGAAAAUAAUAAGUCACAUUUAGUUGAGAAGCAUUCGUCAAAAGCCACUGCUGGAAUGUUCGAACAAAACACACCAUUCCACAACCAUUUUCCCUAGCAACUGAAAAGCGUGCUUCAAAUGGAACCCGACCUACUGCAGCUGAGCUGAAGAGUGUGAAUAAAUCAUCUAAUACAAAUAGUCUGCGACAUCUGAAUAGUAAAAAACAGAAUCAGCCACCUCUGGUUCCAAGGAAGCCAUUGCAACCCAAUAACAAGAAGCUUCCUGAUGAGGAAGACUCUUGUUCUGUUGCUUCCUCCACUGCCGCAUCAGUGCGGACUGUGAAGUCCAGGAUCAUUGUUGCAGCAGCUCCUACAUUUAGAUGCACUGAACGUGCAGAGAAACGGAAGGAGUUUUAUUCAAAACUAGAGGAGAAACACCAAGCUCUGGAAGCUGAGAAGAGCCAAAGUGAAGCCAGGACUAAGGAAGAGACAGAAGCAGCUAUCAAGCAAUUGAGAAAGAGUUUAACAUUUAAGGCGAGCCCAAUGCCAAGCUUCUACCAUGACGGACCACCACCAAAAGUUGAACUCAAAAAGAUGCCACCAACUCGUGCAAAAUCACCAAAGCUGGGCCGAAGGAAGAGCUGUAGUGAUUCAGCCAGUUUGAAUCAAGGAGACCAAGUGAAGGGAACUUCUCGCACGGGAAAUCGUCAAAGUCUAGGUAAUUACAGAGAAGACACCACCCUUUUUUCCACUGACAAAAAGGAUCCAAGCAACAUCCCAAAUGGUCAUGUCAUUUGCAAACUCCAAGACAAUCCUAACCUAGCAGAAGAUAUAAUGGUCCCCAAGGUAAAUGUUCAUAGUAAUCCAGAAAUUGGUGUUGUCUUCCAACACUGAUUUCUGGUGAGCAGCACUCUAAUUUAUCAAUUUAAAGAGGAAAAGGUGUUUAUUUCUCUUCUUUUCCUGUGACUGUUCUGAAGAAUGUGCAUUUUGUUGUUUUAAAUUUGCAAGGACUUGUUGCAAUGUUUGUGUAAUUAUGAAGUGUAAAUUUUCUGUAACUUAUAUAAAUGUCCCCAUUUUGUAAUAACCUUUGUUCAUUUGUUUAAAAAAAAACCCUAAACCCUAAACCAUAAACCCUAAACACUAAAACCCUAAACCCAAAACCCAAAACCCAAAACCCAAAACCCUAAACCCUAAAAACCCUAAACCCUAAAAACCCUAAACCCUAAACCCUAAACCCUAAACCCUAAACCCUAAACUCUAAACCCUAAAAUCCUAAAACCCUAAAACAUAAACCAUAAAUCCUAACCCCUAACCCCUAAUGUACACCACCACUUCCAACACGUUGGCCUUUCAAUUCUCUUCGAUUUGAUAUGUUGUUUGGAAAAUUCAGAGCACGUUUGGGCCUCGAAACAUUGAUUUGAACUCGGAAUACUAUUUAUGCUACAGUAUCCGAAUCCGAGUUUUGUUUUUUCCGGCCAUUUUUCCGGCAAGUAAGCAUACACCUCCCUCUAAAACACAUUCAUCUUUCAUUGAUCUAUAUUUUUUUGUGUUUAUUGGUGAUUUUUGUGUUGAUUGGGACGCCCAAUCAAGCCUAGAAGUGUCGGUUCGCUAUUCAUUGAAUAGUGCCGAUCACUAAAUCCUAGAUCCAGCCAAAUUUUCGGCAAGUGAACUCUCACCACCCCCUCAAAAUUGUUCCCCUCUCACCGAUCUAUGUUUCCCUACCCUCAAUGAGAAUUUUUGUGGUGAUUUGAAGCCUCUACGCCUUUUUGUGGAUGUCACUACUGGAUCCCAAAGAACUGAUCCGGUCAUCGCCUUCAGGCAAUCCUCCACCCAUAAAGGCGAACCUGCCAUUUUUUUCACUGAGGAAGAAAUCAACAUCAUGGCCGCACCAUUCAAGCUCUCUUUGGUUGGUAAGCUUUCUUUCGGCCGCCCUCCCAUUGAUGUUAUCCGUAAAUUUUUUGUGGCUUUAGGCCUGAAAGGAAAUGUUGAAAUCUCUUUAUUGGAUCCGUGCCACAUCCUAAUCCAACUUCACUUGGAAGAAGAUUACACGAGAAUUUGGCUCCGCCAAUCCUGGUUUAUUGAUGGCAGAGCUAUGCGGGUUUUCAAAUGAUCCACAACAUUUCACGACUCUGAAGAGUCGCCGAUUGUUCCGGUCUGGGUAUCCUUGCCAUUUUUACCGAUUCACUACAUGAGAUGCAAAGAGACUUUGUAUUCAAUUGCUGCUGCCAUCGGUAAACCUCUACGGAUCGAUCAUGCCACCGCCUUGGUCAGUAGGCCUACUGUUGCUAGCGUCCUAAUUGAGUAUGACAUUUCUAGGCCUCUAUUGAAGCGGUUAUGGAUCGGGGAAAAAGACACUGGCUUCUGGUAGUAUAUCAUCUUCGAAAAAGUGCCUCGGUAUUGUGCUACCUACAAGCACGUGGGCCACUCUGAUGACACUUGCUACAUUAAUAAACCCGAGUUGCGGAAAGCAGACCGUGUCGGUCCAGUUCAGCAAACUGUUGUUGCUAAUGGUGAGGGUAACAAGUCAAAAGAACCUAUGAAGACUCAGUACGUUCAGAAAGCUGAUAACAGAAAGCUGAACGCAGCAACAAAUGAAGCGGCAACUCACACCAAUGCAGAAACCAGUGAAGCACAAAAUGAAGUUAUUACUACUGAAGCAACACAUGUUAUCAGCUCUGAUGCCCCUGCUGUUGCUGAUGGACCUCCUCAGAGCACAGUCACCUUACCUUCAGUUGUGCGUGCUUCUCCUGAGCCCACGUGCAGUGAUAUCGUUCCUGUUGUGGAUAAGGAUGAUAGUGGGUUCAGUACACCUGUCGUUACUGCUGCUAGUUCUAUGGCCACCACUUCCACACCUAUCGUCCCCUUGGGAAUGGCCGGCAGUGCACUUAGGUUUCGUGAUGCUCCUUCCACAGAAGUUAUGGCAAUCCAAUGUGCUCCGUAUGAUGAUGCGCCGAUUUGCUCUCAACACCUAAUGCACAUAUUUACCUGAGGUGUCUCCUGUAACCAAAGAUAGAAUUGGAAAGAGUCAUCGGAUCGAGGAAUACAGUAACUACAAUGAUGAAUUUUGUGGUGAUGACCGCUGUGGCAAUUCAGACUCUGAGAGGGUGGAAGAUGCAGUUAUCCAAAAAUUGGGUGACCAAAGAAUUAUCAGAUGUUCGGAGGGUUUUAUUGAAGUUACGCCACAGAAGAACUUCAAGAUUAACCGUAGACGCCGGCGGCGAUAUUGAUUUUUAUCUUUAUUGUAUUAUGUAUUUUGAUUAUUUUAUUGUUGUUGUUUUGCUCUGGAGGUUUGGUCCAUGUCCCCCUCGAGUAUUUGUAUCUUCUUUUCGUUCUAUCUACUGGUAGGGGUCCCGCCUAACCCCCCACCUCCUGGUGGUUUUUAAUAAAAAAAAACCCUAAACCCUAAAACCCUAAACCCUAAACCCUAAAACACUGUAGCAUCGAUGAACAGACAUUGUAGCAGGAAUAGUAAACUCUAACUUCGAAAGGGCGUAUAGGCUUCAAAUCACCACAAAAACUCUUAUGGAAGGUAGGGAAACAUAGAUCGGUGAGAGGGGAACAAUUUGGAGGGGUUGGUGAGAGUUCACUUGCCGGAAAUUUAGCCGGAUCUAGGAUUAAGUGAUCGGCAUUAUUUAAUAAAUAGUGAACCGACACUUCUAGGCUUGACUGGGCACCCAAAUCAACACAAAAAUCACCAACAAACACACGAAAAUAUAGAUCAAUGAAAGAUGAGUGUGUUUAAGAGGGAUGUGUAUGCUUACUUGCCGGAAAAAUGGCCGGAAAAAAUGAAACUCGCAUUCGGGUACUGUAUUGCCGUAACUUCUGUAGAAGGAGCAUCGUGAGAACUCAAUGCACCGCCUGUCAUUCCUAUAUAGGGGCCGAAAUAACUGCUCAGUAGCCUAAGAGCGUCAGUAGGUGUGGAAGUCGUGGCCAUAUAACCAGCAGCAGUAACAACAAGUGUACCGAACCCACUAUCCAUCUCGCCCACGACUGGAACGAGAUCAGUGCACGUGCGCUCAGGAGAAGCACGCACAACUGGGGGCAAAGUGACUGUGCUCGGAGGAGGUACAACAGCAACAGCAAGAGGAUCAGAACUGAUAACGUGCGUCGCUUCAGUAGUAGUAACUUCGUUUGGUGGUACGAACAUCAUGAACAACUGGAGAAGCAACUGUUGAAGUAUCCUGAGCACUGUGAGUUGUCACUUCAUUUGUUGCUGCGUUCUGGUUUCUGUUAUCAGCUUUCUGAACGUAUUGAGUCUUCAUAGGUACCUUGGACUUGUUACCAUCACCAUCAGGAACAACAGUUUGCUGAACUGGACCGACACGAGCUGCAUUCCGCAACUCGGGUUUACUGAUGUAGCAGGUGUCAUCGGAGUGGCCCACGUGCUUGCAUGUAGCACAAUAACGAGACACAUUUUCGAAGGUGAUGUACUGCCAGAAGCUAGUGUUUUUUUCCCUGAUCCAUAAACGCUUCAAUAAAGGCUUAGAAAUGUCAUACUCAAUUAAGACUCUAGCAACAGUAGGCCUACUGACCGAGGCGGUGGCAUGAUCGAUUCGUAGAGGUUUACCGAUGGUAGCAGCAAUGGAAUACAAAGUCUCUUUGCAUCUGAUGUAGUGAACCGGUAAAAACGGCAAAAGUACCCAGACCGAAACAAUCGGUGACUCUUCAGAGCUGUGAAAAGUUGUGGACCAUUUGAAAACCCGCAUAGCUCUGCCAUCAAUAAACCAGGAUUGGCGGAACCAAAUUCUCGUGUAGUCCUCUUCCAGGUGAAGUUGGAUAAUGAUGUGGCGAGCAUCCAAUAAGGAGAUUUCAACGUUUCCUUCCAGGCCAAAUGCCACAAAAAAUUUGCGGAUAAAAUCAAUGGGAGGGCGGCCGAAAGAAAACUUACCAACCAAAGAGAGCUUGAAUGGUGCGGCCAUGAUGUUGAUUUCUUCCUCAGUGAAAAAAAUGCCAGGUUCGCCUCUAUGGGUGGAGGAUUGCCUGAAGGUGAUGGCCGGAUCAGAUCUUUGGGAUCCGGUAGUGACAUCCACAAAAGAUUUGCAGGGUUGAGCAGUGGGUGGUUUUGACACCAUUUGAGCAAAUGACGGGAGUGGUGGAAACUCCAAUGAAGUAACCGGAUGGCCACCGGCCAUAGCCGGAGAAGCCCGAACGGGAGACCCCAAAAGAAUAAUGCACCAAAUCACCAAACAAAACCAAUUCUGUGAAUAGUAACCCGAAGACACUGUAGCAGAAAUAGUUACUGUAGCGAUCACGGAUACUGUAGUACGAAGAACAGACGCGGUAGCAAUGAAGAAUAGUACUGUAGCAGGAAUAGUGAAUUAUAACUUCAAAAGGGCGUAGGGGUUUCAAAUCACCACAAAAACUCUCAUGGAAGGUAGGGAAACAUAGAUCGGUGAGAGUGGAACAAUUUGGCGGGGGUGGUGAGAGAUCACUUGCCGAAAAUUUAGACGGAUCUAAGAUUAAGUGAUCCGCACUAUUUAAUAAAUAGUGAACCGACACUUCAAGUCUUAUUUGGACACCCAAAUCAACACAAAAAUCACCAACAAAUACACGAAAAUAUAGAUUAAUAAAAGGUGAGUGUGUUUAAGAGGGAGGUGUAUGCUUACUUGCCCGAAAAAUGGUCGGAAAAGUGAAAGUCGUAUUCGGGCAAUGUAGCAUGAAUAGUGUUCCGAGUUCAAAUCAAUGUUUCGAAGACCAAACGUACUCCGAAUUUUCCAAACAGCAUAUCAAAUCGAAGAGAAUUGAAAGGACAAUGUGCUGGAAGGGGUGGUGUACAUUAACUCGCCGAAAAAAUAUCUGGAAAUUUGAAUCAAAGUUUCGGCAUGACUGUAGCAAGUUGAGAGAAAAUUCUACUGUAGCAAAUCAGCGUUUUUUUGUUCCUAUUACCCAGUAUACCGUGAUAUCUGACUUCUGGCCGUUGGGAGUCAUGGGUACAACUUCUCAUACUUUGCAGCCCAAAGUGGGCUCAGAUAUGACUCAGGAUACCCAUGUGGAUGAUAUUCGUCCGUUGGGGCCUCCGGCUUUACGGGAUAUUCCCCACGCUCCAGACCUGACACCAGAGCACUCGAGUUUGGCUAUUCAGAUCGUGGAUUCUGGGUCUCCGAUCACUAUGAUAUUCCCCGUCGAGGCAGAUGUCCCCGACGCUGCAACCGCUCCAGACUCGACCGACAUUCCUCCUGGUGAUCUUGACACGACAGUUGUGGGCUAUAACACCCACUAUACCGAUAUCCCUUCUAAAGAGGAGACCAGCGAUGAUAAGGACCGCUGUGACAAUUCAAAUUCUGAGACUGUGGAAGAUGCAGUUAUCAAAAAAUUGGGCAACCAAUUUUUUAUCAGAUGUACGGAGGGUUUUAUUGAAGUUACGCCACGGAAGAACUUCAAAAUUAACCGUAGACGCCGGCGAUAUUGAUUUCUAUCUUCAUUAUAUUAUGUAUUUUGAUUAUUUUGUUGUUGUUUUGCUCUGGAGGUUUGGUCCAUGCCCCCCCCCCCAGUAUUUGUAUUUUGUUUUCGUUCUAUCUACUGGUAGGGGUCCCGCCUAACCCCCCAACUCCUGGUGAUUUUUAAUAAAAAAAAAACCCUAAACCCUAAACCCAUAAACCCUAAACCCUUAAACCCUAAACCCUAAACUCUAAAUCCUAAACCCUAAACCCUAAACCCAACCCUAAACGAAAAAACGCUGAUUUGCUACAGUGGCAUUUUGCUACAGUAUCAUAUUCUCUCAACUUGCUACAGUAAUGCCGAAACUUUUAUUCAAAUUUCCGGCCAUUUUUCCGGCGAGUUAAUGUACACUACCCCUUCUAGCACAUUGUCCUUUCAAUUCUCUUCCAUUUGAUAUGUUGUUUGGAAAAUUCGGAGUACGUUUGGGCUUCGAAACAUUGAUUUGAACUCGGAUCACUAUUUUUCGGGCAAGUAAGCAUAGACCUCCCUCUUAAACACACUCACAUUUCAUUGAUCUAUAUUUCCGUGUGUUUGUUGGUGAUUUUUGUGUUGAUUUGAGUGCCCAAACAAGACUUGAAUUGUCGGUUCACUAUUCAUUAAAUAGUGCCGAUCACUUAAUCUUAGAUCCGGCCAAAUUUUCGGUAAGUGAUCUCUCACCACCCCCACCAAAUUGUUCCACUCUCACCGAUUUAUGUUUCCCUACCUUCCAUGAGAGUUUUUGUGGUGAUUUAAAGCCCCUACGUCCUUUUGAAGUUAUAGUUCACUAUUCCUGCUACAGUACUGUUCUUCAUUGCUACAGCAUCGGUUCUUCGUGAUACAGUAUCCGUGAUCGCUACAGUGACUGUUUAUGCUACAGUGUCUUCGGCUAUUCACAGAAUUGGUUUUGUUUGGUGAUUUGGUGCAUUAUUCUUUCGGGGUCUCCCGUUACGCAACUCAGCCCGAAUGGCUUCUCCGGCUAUGGCCGGUGGCCAUCCGGCUACUUCAUUGGAGUUUCCACCACUCCCGUCAUUUGCUCAAAUGGCGUCAAAACCGCCCACUGCUCAACCCUGCAAAUCUUUUGUGGAUGUCACUACUGGAUCCCAAAGAACUGAUCCGGCCAUCGCCUUCAGGCAAUCCUCCACCCAUAGAGGCGAACCUGCCAUUUUUUUCACUGAGGAAGAAAUCAACAUCAUGGUCGCACCAUUCAAGCUCUCUUGGUUGGUAAGCUUUCUUUCGGCCGCCCUCCCUUUGAUGUUAUCCGUAAAUUUUUUGUGGCAUUAGGCCUGAAAGGAAACGUUGAAAUCUCCUUAUUGUAUUCUCGCCACAUCCUUAUCCAACUUCACCUGGAAGAGGAGUACACGAGAAUUUGGUUCCGCCAAUCCUGAUUUAUUGAUGGCAGAGCUAUGCGGGAUUUCAAAUGGUCCACAACUUUUCACAGCUCUGAAGAGUCGCCGAUUGUUCCGGCCUGGGUAUCUUUGCCGUUUUUACCGAUUCACUACAUCAUAUGCAAAGAGGCUUUGUAUUCCAUUGCUGCUACCAUCGGUAAACCUCUACGAAUCGAUCAUGCCACCGCCUCGGUCAAUAGGCCUACUGUUGCUAGAGUUUUAAUUGAGUAUGACAUUUCUAGACCUUUAUUGAAGCGUUUAUGGAUCGGGGAAAAAGACACUAGCUUCUGGCAGUACAUCACCUUCGAAAAAGUGUCUCGUUAUUAUGCUACCUGCAAGCACGUGGGCCACUCCGAUGACACCUGCUACAUCAAUAAACCCGAGUUGCGGAAUGCAGCUCGUGUCGGUCCAGUUCAGCAAACUGUUGUUCCUGAUGGUGAUGGUAACAAGUCCAAGGUACCUAUGAAGACUCCAUAUGUUCAGAAAGCUGAAAACAGAAACCAAAACACAGCAACAAAUGAAGCGACAACUCACAGUGCUCAGGAUACUUCAACAGUUGCUUCUCCAGUUGUUCAUGAUGUUCGUACCACCAAUGCAGAAACUAGUGAAGCACCAAACGGGGUUACUACUACUAAAGCGACUCACGUUAUCAGUUCUGAUCCUCUUGUUGCUGCUGCUGUACCUCCUCCGAGCAUAGUCACUUUACCCUCAGUUGUGCGUGCUUCUCCUAAGCGCACGUGCACUGAUCUCGUUCCAGUUGUGGGCAAGACGGAUAGUGGGUUCAGUACACCUGUUGUUACUGCUGCUGGUUCUAUGGACACCACUUCUACACCUACUGACGCUCUUGGGCUAUUGAACAGUUAUUUCGGCCCUUAUAUGGGAAUGAUUGGCGGUGGAUUUAGUUCUCGUGAUGCUCCGUAUGAUGAUGCGUCGCUUUGCACUCUCAAUACCCAAUGCACUGAUUUUCCUGUGGUAUCUCCUGUAACCAACAAUUCAAAACAUAGAAUUGGAAAGAGUCAUCGGAUCGAGGAUUACAGUAACUCCAGUGACGAAUUUUGGGGUGAUGACCGCUGUGGCAAUUCAGACUCUAAGAAGAUGGAAGAUGUUGUUAUCGAAAAAUUGAGUGGCCAAAGAAUUAUCAUUUCUACGGAGGGUUUUACUAAAAUUACGCCACGGAAGGGUUCCAAAAUCAAUCGUAGACGCCGGCGAUAUUGAUAUUCUAUCUCCACUAUAAUAUGUAUUUUGCUUGUUUUGGUGUUGUUUUGCUCUGGAGGUUUGGUCUAUGCCCCCCUCCAGUAUUUGUAUUUUAUUUUCGUUUUAUCUACUGGUAGGGGUCCCGCCUAACCCCCCACCUCCUGGUGGUUUUUAAUAUAAAAAAAACCUUCAACCCUAAAUCAUAAACCCUAAACCCUAAACCCUAAACCUUAAAUCCUAAAAACCCUAAAACCCUAAACCCUAAACCCUAAAACACUCAUUUCCGAACCACCCACAACACCCAUUUCCGAACCACCAACAACACCCACUUCCUUCAUCCUAUCAAAACUUCGCCAACCGGCGAUGAUUACCCACCCCGAGAAUGAUCAGGAAAAAGUGGUAGAAAACCAAAACACCUCAUCCCUCCGUCCAACUCCAUGCUCGGGUAACAUUAAUAAUGUUCAAGAAAGUGGCCGAGAAGAAAACCAAAACAACUCAUCCCUCCGUCCAAAUCCUUGCUCCGGUAACACAAAAUGUUCAAGAAACUGGCCGAGAAGCAACGAUUGGCGAGAAUCACAUCCAAAACACCAUGCAUGGCGGCCAAAACCCGUCCUCUCCUAUCCACGGUUGCUCUUCCAACUGUGAGCAAGCUCCACAUGGUGAAGUUGCCACCGCACCCCAUGUUCAAGCUCAAAAUCAUCCCAAAACUUGUGCAAACUGUGAUCAAACCACCACCUCCGUUCAUAACUUUAUCCAAACCGAGCUUCACUCACAAAUGAAAAAUGUCUCUCAAACUUUGGUCAAACAAAAUCAUGGCCACAACUCCCCCCCACCAAGCCUUGUCACCCACUCACCAAAAGCAAUCCCCCACCAUCCAUCACUCAUCAUCUUCUCACAACACACACUCGAAUUCCCAAUUCAAAAAUUCUCUUACACAUAUUCCCACACCCCACCAAGCCUUGUCCCCCACUCACAUCAAAACACCCACUCACACCUCUCCCAAUCAUUCGGCAAACCCAAACCAACAACCCACUCAUCACAUCCACUCCUCCACCACCCUUUCACAAAUUCAUCAAACCGUGGGCCCUACCACCAACUCUCAUUCCACUGAUAUAUUCCUCCAAUAAAUCUUGUCUCCCACUCAUCAAACCUUAUCGCCCAUAACUCAUUCUUUUUCUUCCAACAUUACCCACCAUCAAAAAACUCAUUCGGCCACUCCCCUCCCCCCUAUAAUUAUGUCUCCCACUAACCACAAUCCUCACACCCCUCAAAAUGUCGUGGGCCCCACCACUACAUCUCAC